This is a small nucleolar RNA of Dendrobium catenatum, 108 nucleotides long. The record is from RefSeq and is a predicted model, not a curated record. NCBI's taxonomy places the organism in Eukaryota, Viridiplantae, Streptophyta, Magnoliopsida, Asparagales, Orchidaceae.
AAAGCAUGAUGAUGUCACUUUUUAAGUAUCUCCUUGAAUCUCUCCCAGAUCUCAUAAAUUGACUAUCCAUUAAUUUGGAAAAAAUGAAGUAAUAUCUUCUCUAUGUUU